This 274-nucleotide ribosomal RNA is filed under the name uncultured bacterium. RNAcentral describes it as "partial 16S ribosomal RNA". It matches the Rfam family "Bacterial small subunit ribosomal RNA", at positions 523 to 796 of the family's 1533-position model. The record is from RNAcentral.
AUACGGAGGGUGCGAGCGUUAAUCGGAAUUACUGGGCGUAAAGCGUACGUAGGCGGUUGGUUAAGUUAGAUGUGAAAGCCCCGGGCUUAACCUGGGAACUGCAUUUGAAACUGGGUAACUAGAGUUUAGUAGAGGGGAGUGGAAUUUCAGGUGUAGCGGUGAAAUGCGUAGAGAUCUGAAGGAACACCAGUGGCGAAGGCGACUCCCUGGACUAGAACUGACGCUGAGGUACGAAAGCGUGGGUAGCAAACAGGAUUAGAUACCCCGGUAGUCC